RNAcentral lists this long non-coding RNA (285 nucleotides) under Mytilus galloprovincialis (Mediterranean mussel). Lineage: Eukaryota; Metazoa; Mollusca; Bivalvia; Mytilida; Mytilidae. The record is from RNAcentral.
UUACUAUAGAGAACAUAUGUACUAAGUUUCAAGUUGAUUGGACUUCAAUUUCAUCAAAAACUACCUUGACCAAAAACAUGAACCUGAAACUCCCACUUUCAUUUUCUAUGUUCAGUGGACCGUGAAAUUGGGGCCAAAAGUCUAAUUUGGCUUUAAAAUUAGAAAGAUCAUAUCAUAAGCUACAAGUGUACUAAGUUUCAAGUUGAUUGGACUUCAGCUUCAUCAAAAACUACCUUGACCAAAACUUUAACCUGAAUGGACGCACAGACGAACGGUACGACGAAC